RNAcentral lists this unclassified non-coding RNA (330 nucleotides) under soil metagenome. Its description in RNAcentral is "partial contains 5.8S ribosomal RNA, internal transcribed spacer 2, and large subunit ribosomal RNA". The stretch from base 1 to 121 matches the Rfam family "5.8S ribosomal RNA", at positions 35 to 154 of the family's 154-position model. The record is from RNAcentral.
GAUGAAGAACGUAAGCGAAAUGCGAUAAGUAGUGUGAAUUGCAGAAUUCAGUGAAUCAUCGAAUCUUUGAACGCACAUUGCGCCCCUUGGUAUCCCGAGGGACAUGCCUGUUCGAGCGUCAUUUCACCACUCAAGCCUGGCUUGGUGUUGGGCGACGUCCUCUUUGGGGACGCGCCUCGAAACGCUCGGCGGCGUGGCACCGGCUUUAAGCGUAGCAGAAUCUUUCGCUUUGGAAGUCGGGGCCCCGUCUGCCGGAAGACCUGCUCGCAAGGUUGACCUCGGAUCAGGCAGGGAUACCCGCUGAACUUAAGCAUAUCAAUAAGCGGAGGA